Molecule: ribosomal RNA, 492 nt
Filed under: uncultured bacterium
Lineage: Bacteria
Description: partial 16S ribosomal RNA
Rfam family: Bacterial small subunit ribosomal RNA
Source: RNAcentral
AGUGAACGCUGGCGGUAGGCCUAACACGUGCAAGUCGAACGGCAGCACAGUAAGAGCUUGCUCUUACGGGUGGCGAGUGGCGGACGGGUGAGGAAUACAUCGGAAUCUACUUUUUCGUGGGGGAUAACGUAGGGAAACUUACGCUAAUACCGCAUACGACCUACGGGUGAAAGCAGGGGAUCUUCGGACCUUGCGCGAUUGAAUGAGCCGAUGUCGGAUUAGCUAGUUGGCGGGGUAAAGGCCCACCAAGGCGACGAUCCGUAGCUGGUCUGAGAGGAUGAUCAGCCACACUGGAACUGAGACACGGUCCAGACUCCUACGGGAGGCAGCAGUGGGGAAUAUUGGACAAUGGGCGCAAGCCUGAUCCAGCCAUACCGCGUGGGUGAAGAAGGCCUUCGGGUUGUAAAGCCCUUUUGUUGGGGAAGAAAAGCAGCAGGUUAAUACCCCGCUGUUCUGACGGUACCCAAAGAAUAAGCACCGGCUAACUUCGUG